CCUACGGGUGGCAGCAGUGGGGAAUAUUGGGCAAUGGAGGCAACUCUGACCCAGCAACGCCGCGUGAGCGAUGAAGGUCUUCGGAUUGUAAAGCUCUUUAAGCGGGGACGAAGAAAGUGAUUGUACCCGCAGAAUAAGCCUCGGCUAACUACGUGCCAUCAGCCGCUGUAAUACGUAGGAGGCAAGCGUUACCCGGAAUGACUGGGCGGAAAGGGUGCGUAGGUGGUUGGGCAAGUUGGUAGCGUAAUCCCGGGGCUCAACCUCGGUGCUACUACCAAAACUGUUGAACUUGAGUACAGUUGAGGUAGGCGGAAUGCGUGGUGUAGCGGUGAAAUGCUUAGAUAUCACGAAGAACUCCGAUUGCGAAGGCAGCUUACUAAACUGCCACUGACAUUGAUGCUCGAAAGUGUGGGUAUCAAACAGGAUUAGAUACCCGAGUAGUC
Molecule: ribosomal RNA, 443 nt
Filed under: uncultured bacterium
Lineage: Bacteria
Description: partial 16S ribosomal RNA
Rfam family: Bacterial small subunit ribosomal RNA
Source: RNAcentral